GACAGAGGGUGCAAACGUUGCUCGGAAUCACUGGGCGUAAAGGGCGUGUAGGCGGGAAGCUAAGUCAGGUGUGAAAUCCCCAGGCUCAACCUGGGAACUGCACUUGAAACUGUCUUUCUUGAGUGUCGGAGUGGAAAGUGGAAUUCCUGGUGUAGAGGUGAAAUUCGUAGAUAUCAGGAGGAACACCGGUGGCGAAGGCGGCUUUCUGGACGACAACUGACGCUGAGACGCGAAAGCGUGGGGAGCAAACAGG
Molecule: ribosomal RNA, 253 nt
Filed under: uncultured bacterium
Lineage: Bacteria
Description: partial 16S ribosomal RNA
Rfam family: Bacterial small subunit ribosomal RNA
Source: RNAcentral